UGUUUGCUUGUUAUGUGAUGUGUACUGUUUUUUUUCAGAAAACAGGAUGAGAGGAACUCGUCGAUCUGCACGAUUGACUGGAGUGCCACCUGAGGAUGAGGGCAUGAGCGCCCGUCCUCCUACAUUGCCUAGGGCAAUGUCAAGCAGGUCCAACAGGGACAGAACAGUAAGAGACCCUAGAAGGUCUUUGGAUCUGGGUAGAAGCAGAUCAGUCAGAGGAACAGUUCAGGGAGGA
RNAcentral lists this long non-coding RNA (235 nucleotides) under Manihot esculenta (cassava). Its description in RNAcentral is "long non-coding RNA (MESC_LNC006109)". Lineage: Eukaryota; Viridiplantae; Streptophyta; Magnoliopsida; Malpighiales; Euphorbiaceae. The record is from RNAcentral.